UACGAAGGGUGCAAACGUUGCUCGGAAUCAUUGGGCGUAAAGCGCACGUAGGCGGCCUCGCAAGUCGGAUGUGAAAUCCCUCGGCUCAACCGAGGACGUGCACCCGAAACUGCAGGGCUUGAGUACUGAAGAGGAUCGCGGAAUUCCCGGUGUAGAGGUGAAAUUCGUAGAUAUCGGGAGGAACACCAGUGGCGAAGGCGGCGAUCUGGGCAGAUACUGACGCUGAGGUGCGAAAGCGUGGGGAGCAAACAGGAUUAGAAACCCCCGUAGUCC
RNAcentral lists this ribosomal RNA (273 nucleotides) under uncultured bacterium. Its description in RNAcentral is "partial 16S ribosomal RNA". It matches the Rfam family "Bacterial small subunit ribosomal RNA", at positions 524 to 796 of the family's 1533-position model. The record is from RNAcentral.